This 445-nucleotide ribosomal RNA is filed under the name uncultured bacterium. RNAcentral's name for it is "partial 16S ribosomal RNA". It matches the Rfam family "Bacterial small subunit ribosomal RNA", at positions 354 to 796 of the family's 1533-position model. The record is from RNAcentral.
GUGAGGAAUAUUGGUCAAUGGACGGAAGUCUGAACCAGCCAUGCCGCGUGCAGGAAUAAGGUCCUAUGGAUUGUAAACUGCUUUUAUUCGGCAAUAAACCUCUUUACGUGUAGGGAGCUGAAGGUACCGAAGGAAUAAGCACCGGCUAACUCCGUGCCAGCAGCCGCGGUAAUACGGAGGGUGCAAGCGUUAUCCGGAAUCAUUGGGUUUAAAGGGUCCGCAGGCGGGCUAUCAAGUCAGAGGUGAAAUCCCACAGCUUAACUGUGGAACUGCCUUUGAAACUGAUGGUCUUGAAUUAAGUGGGCGUUGGCGGAAUAUGACAUGUAGCGGUGAAAUGCAUAGAUAUGUCAUGGAACACCGAAAGCGAAGGCAGCUAACGAUACUUAUAUUGACGCUCAUGGACGAAAGCGUGGGUAGCGUACAGGAUUAGAAACCCCUGUAGUCC